RNAcentral lists this unclassified non-coding RNA (241 nucleotides) under plant metagenome. Its description in RNAcentral is "partial contains small subunit ribosomal RNA, internal transcribed spacer 1, and 5.8S ribosomal RNA". The record is from RNAcentral.
UUUCCGUAGGUGAACCUGCGGAAGGAUCAUUAAAGAGUAAGGGUCUUCGGGCCCGAUCUCCAACCCUUUGUUUAACUACCAUGUUGCUUUGGCGGGCCCGUCUCACGACCGCCGGAAGUUUGGCUUCGACCAAACUUCUGGCCCGUGCCCGUCAGUGGCCCCUUCAAAUUCUUGAUCAAGUAUGAUGUCUUAGUUAAAAACUUAAUAGUUAAAACUUACAACAACGGAUCUCUUGGUUCUG